RNAcentral lists this long non-coding RNA (1040 nucleotides) under Papio anubis (olive baboon). RNAcentral's name for it is "lncRNA (ENSPANG00000038822.1)". The record is from RNAcentral. Lineage: Eukaryota; Metazoa; Chordata; Mammalia; Primates; Cercopithecidae.
AUGUCCCAUCAGCAAGAUUCUCCUGCUGCCCUGGAAGAAUCUUCUUGCCAUUUUGUGAUGGAUCUAUGGAUGAAAGCAGAGGACAAAGACAUGAGCAGAACCCCACAACCACAAGGAUCUGAAUUCUGUCAACAACCAAUGAGCUUGAAAGAGAAAUCUGAGCCUUAGAUGAGAUCACAGUUCUGGCUGACAAUGGCACCUUGAGUUUAGCUUGGCAAGACCAAGUAAAGGACCCAUCAAGCUGGUAGCAGACUGCUCACUGAGGGAAACUGUGAGUAAUUAAUUAAUUUGUAUUGUUUUAAGCUGGUAAAUUUGUGGUCAUUUGUUGCAUAGCAAUGAAAAAGAAAUUGAGAUACUAUGGUCUGAAUGUUGGUGUCUGUAUUAGUCUGUUUUCAACUACUAUAAGGAAAAACCUGAGACUGGGUAAUUUAUAAAGGAAAGAGGUUUAAUUGACACAAUUUCACGUAGCUGGGGAGGCCUCAGGAAGCUUUCAAUCAUGGUGGAAGAUGAAGGGGAAGCAAGGCACAUCUUACAUGGCAGCAGGAGAGAGAGAGAGAGGUGGGGGAGGACUGUCAAACACUUUAAAACCACCAGACCUCAUGAGGACACACUAUCAUGAGAACAGCGUGGGGGAAACUCUCCCAUGAUCCAAUCACUUCCCACCAGGUCCCUCCCCUGAAACAUGGGGAUUAUAAUUCGAGAUGAGAUGUGGGUGGGGACGUAGACCCAAAUCAUGUCAGUGUGUCAGUGUUUCCUCCAAAUUCAUAUAUUGGAACCUAAUACCCAGCAUGAUGGUAUUAAGAGGUGGGAGUAUUUGGGAAAUGAUUAAGUCAUGAAGGCUCCACUCUCAUGAAUGGAAUUCGUGCCCUUACAAAAGAGACUGGAGAGAGCCCCUUACCUCUAUCUCUCAUGUAAGGACACAGUGCUUACUCCCCUCUCUUCUACCAUGUGAGAUUGCAGCAAGAAGGCACAGUCUCUGAAGCAGAGAGCAAUCCCUCACCAGACACUGAAUCUUCCGAUGCCUUGGUCUUAGACUUUCC